Oncorhynchus tshawytscha (Chinook salmon) is the source of this 1323-nucleotide long non-coding RNA. NCBI's taxonomy places the organism in Eukaryota, Metazoa, Chordata, Actinopteri, Salmoniformes, Salmonidae. The record is from Ensembl.
AAAACCUCUCAGAAGAAAAGCAGCAAACGCCAAAGACGAAGAGAAGGCUUUAUGGAUAGAGAAACAGAGGGUGGGGAGAAAGGAGAGCGAGGAGUUUAGACUUCUGCACUGUUUCCUCUCUCUUCAGUCUGUCUGUCGUUUUUUUGAAGCGCAUUGUCUCUCUUCUCUUCUUCUCUCCCCUGUUUUUCUCAAGCUGGUCAUCUCCAGAAUGAAUAGAAGGCUUGUACUUACAGUCCUGGCCCUGAAUGUUGUAACCAAUGAAAUCAAGGUAUCCACCUCCCAACCUCUCACACCAUCCAACUCCACUCCUGCUACCUUCAUUCCCCCUGCUCCCACCACUUCCUGUGUGUGUAAAGUCUCCACUUCCUGUUCCUCUCCGACCCAGCCCGAGUCUCCGCCACCUGCGCUGGGUGUUAUCAAGGUCAAAUGGGAAGAAAAGUCCUGUAAGGGGGAUGUACACCUGUCUCUCCUCUCGUCCCAUUCCUUACCAGUCUGCUUUAACAGUCUUACCCAUCGUAGUCUUCAUCGUGCAGGGCUGUGUAAGAGGAAGGGCUGCGAGGGCUCCCCAACGUGGACUAAGAUCAAUCCUAAAGCUUUGGGUUACCAGAUCAGUACGAAUGGAAGUGUUGCCAACAACCCCUGUACAACACUGGGGAUCCAAUGCGACGUCGUCUCAGAUCAGUUAGUGGGCUAUAAGGUGGUGACUGGUCUACUGUGUGUUCUGGUGCUGGUGGUGCUGAUGGUGCGUUUCGGGCAGCCCUCCCUCAAGGCCCUCCGUAGGAGACUGUCAGACAAGAGGCAGAGUCGGUGGAUCGGACCUACGCAGAGCCAAAGUGUCUCCUACCAUAGAGGGAAGGCUGGACUCCAACUUAACGACAACACAGACAAGAGACACUCCUACCCUGGAUUGGAGAGGCUGACGGUGAACACCAGCCGAGAGCCUUCGUCUAACAGAAACAGUGAUUAUGACUCUUAUAACUUGUGAUCAUCAUCAUCAUCAGUCAUAUCCUUCACCCACAAUGACAAUACACUGUACAUGUAUUUUUCAUAUUUUAUUAUAUUUUUAUAUUUUUUUAUGCUAAUUGUAAAAAAAAAAAAAAUUAAGCACAUAAAUAUCUUUUUUUUUUUUUUUGGGGGUGUUUCUGUACGUAAUUCAGUCAUUCACUUCUUUUAUUGAAUAAACGUAACGUUUGUUGUUGAAUAAAAUGUUUGGACCUCGUACUUAGAAGUGAACCGGAUGCUCAAGAAGGCAAUGAAAAGCAGGAUGAAAGGCAAGAGGGAGAGAAGAGUUUCUGCAACGGUGUGGCUUCCUGUGCCGUUGAC